This 534-nucleotide unclassified non-coding RNA is filed under the name Hevea brasiliensis (rubber tree). The record is from RNAcentral. Lineage: Eukaryota; Viridiplantae; Streptophyta; Magnoliopsida; Malpighiales; Euphorbiaceae.
UUCUUUCUUUCUUUCUUUCUCUCUCCCUCUUCCUCUUCCUCUUGUUUCUUGAGUUAACUUGUUUUGAGGAAGUCCCAUCACAUCUGCAAGAAGAAACUAAUAGAAUAUACGAUUUGCGUCCCAGAAUAGUUUCCUAGGAGGGGAAUAAUCAUAGAUCUGCAAAGUCAGCUACCCAAAGGUCGUUGAAUAACCUAUAAGAUCGUCACAGUUCUCUGCAAACCAUAAAAAAAAAACAUAUAAAAUUACAAGAAACACCCAUUAAAUCCAUUAGUUAUGAUUCAUAAUAUCCUUUCUGACCUCAAAAAGAAAGAAUCAGCACUCCAAAGGCCAAAAGACGAAAUGCUACUGAGUAAUAUCCACCACCAACUGACAGCAACAGAAAGAAAAAGAAAAAAAAGAAAAAGAAAAGAAUCACCUUUCUAAACUGUGUAUGAGUCUUCCUUUUGUAUAGUCGUUUAUUGCCGAUGCAGCAUCAUCAAGAUUCUCACUUUCAAAGAACUUUGGUUCAUGGAGAUGGAGAGAGAGAGAGAGAGA